Molecule: long non-coding RNA, 8430 nt
Filed under: Podarcis lilfordi (Lilford's wall lizard)
Lineage: Eukaryota; Metazoa; Chordata; Lepidosauria; Squamata; Lacertidae
Source: RNAcentral
CACCUGCCCUAGCCAGAAUCCCACCACAAAUAAUUUGGAGCGAUGUCGUGUGUGUGUGGCGGCGGCGAGACAUUUAUGUAAUGUAAUAGGAAUAUUUAAAUAAUUAAAGCAGGCGGUCUGCACAAGUCCAUAGGGACUUUUAUUAGAAGGGGUUUCCACACACACCCCAGCCCCGCAAAGAGUUUCCAGGGGGAUGGCGGGACCAAUUAGGACGUGCUCAAGGGGGGUGGGUUGCGUUUUUAGGUUCAUUUUACUAAGCCAUAGCUGUCAACUUUUCUCUUGCGAGGAAUUCUAUUCGGAAUAAAGGAAUUUCCCUUUAAAAAGGGGGAAAGUUGACGGCUAUGAUGGUAGCUUCAUUCACUGAAGAAAGGUCCUUUUCUGCUUAUGGCGCAGAGGCAAGCAGAUCACGGUGCUAGAGGUUUUUUUCAAACAAAAUUGGGCAACAUCUGUAAGUGUCUUUCAGUUUCCAUCAGCAAUCUUAAGGGAACCAACAGCUGUGGCCUUUUUUCAAAAGGAGAAAUGCUAUAUUGCUUUGAACUAGAGGCGGGAAAGCUGGCUCUGAAAAUGAAGUUAGGAUAUUUUUCAGACAUUGCCACCGCUCUCAUUUCACAAAUGGAAUCAAAGGUGCUCUUGUAUGCUUGUGUAUGAGGUUGCUUCUAGUCCACAAAACCCCAGCGCAAAGUCGUGCCGGUCUCCCGAGAGCCACGCAGAGCUGCCUGCAUUCUGAAGCCUGGGGCGCACUGAAGAGUGUGCCCGGGCUUCGUGCAGCUCUCCGCAAGCCUGGGGAGACCGGCGCGACUUCCCGCCGGGCUCCCUAGGCUUGCGGAUAGCAGACUGUUCUUGGGGUUGGGGUCGGGGGAAGCUCGGGCUUCCCCGCGCCAGCCCCGUGCCUGGGGGGGGGAAUAUUUUUUUCUUUAUUCCCCCCCCCAAAAAAAAAACUAGGUGCGUCCUAUGGGGCGAAAAAUACAGUAGAUUGGAUUUACUUACUGUAUAUAGAGUACAGUGGUACCUCGGGUUACAUACGCUUCAGGUUACAUAUGCUUCAGGUUACAGACUCCGCUAACCCUGAAAUAGUACCUCGGGUUAAGAACUUUGCUUCAGGAUGAGAACAGAAAUCGUGCAGCGGCGGCGCAGCAGCAGCAGGAGGCCCCAUUAGCUAAAGUGGUGCUUCAGGUUAAGAACAGUUUCAGGUUAAGAAUGGACCUCCAGAACGAAUUAAGUACUUAACCCGAGCUACCACUGUAAAUAGAUGCAGAUCGAAUGGCUGCUAGAGGCACAGAAAGAAGAGCCAGUUAAAAGUUGGCAAUGCUUCUUUGUCACUUCAGUCCUGCAAGGCGUGACAUGCAUGGAAACUGUCUUAUACAAUUGGUCCAUCUAGCUCAAUAUUGUCUACACUGACUGGCAGCAGCUCUCCAGGAUUUCAAAAAGGGAAUUUCUCCUUGCCCUACCUGGAGCUGAUAGGAACUGAAGCCAAAUCUUCUGUAUGCAAGCCAUUUGCUCUUCCACAGAACUAUGGCUCUUUCUCAUGCACAGGAAUCUGCCUUUUUUGAAGUCAGACCAUUGGUGCAUCUAGCUCAGUUUUGUCUUGAUUGACUGGCAGUGACUCUCUAGAAUUUCAGGUACGAGUCUUUCCCAGCCCUACCUGGAAGUGCCAUUGAGAAUUGAACUGGGCCCCUUCCUGCAGGCUUGCAAAGCUUGCUAUGAGCCCAGAUGUCUCCUUCCGUGCUUUCAGUCUGUGGAUUUCCAACCCAGGCCUUUUCAUUGUCUUUCUGCAGAUCACAUCACUGCCAACAAUGCCCCCUGUUCCUGUCAUAAUUUAUAUUUUGAAGAGCAUCAUUCUUGGAAGUAAACAGUUGUUUUUUCCCCUAGAACCUGAAGGUCCUAAUAGAUAGUCCAGCCUAGUUGUGUCAUGGGAUAUUAAGAUUCGUCAGUGUUAGUAUUCUCAAGCUGUUUCUAUACAGAGUGUUAGUGCUGUUGGGCUGUUAAGAGACUCUGACAAGCUCUUGUAGAAGUGCAUUUAAUUGUAUGUUAAGUGAUUUUUUUAAAAAUCAGCUCUAUGUCUAACUAGUGGCAAACACUCUAAUUUUCCCACUGUUGUUAACAAUGUGCCCAUCAUUACUACGUGUGUGUGUGUGUGUGUGUGUGUGUGUGUGGAGAGAGAGGGGGGGGAACUUGUACUCUUCAAGCACCCCUUUUGGGGUGCAAUACACUAUGUGCAGGGUUGGUUAUACCAUUAGAUGGAGUGAGGUUGCUGCCUCAGGUGGCAGAUUCUGGUGUGGCGGCAGCAGCAGCAGUAGCAGCCCUGCCCCUCUUCCCUCUUGGGUCCCAUAUGUUAGCCUCUUGCCCAUAGGUUCAAUGGGCAAUGCUGACUUCAGCAUUAAAGUCAGGUUUACUAACUAGUCGGGUGAAAUAUCUGUACAUCAAACUGAGAUUUGCUAUAGGGAGCAAAAUGUUUUGAGGCUGUACCUGACUCUGUGCACAGAGAAGCAUUUCAUACAAUGAGAACUAGACAAUCAAAGUACAAAACUUUACCCCCCCCCCCCCCAGAAAUAGAUAAAGGCCAUUCACUUGUACAGUAGAAGUGCUCACUCAGGGACACACAUGCUCAUGGAGAGCCCAGCAAUGAAGAACUAAGUCCUAUCUUUUAUUUUACAGCAUUUUAUAAUAACAAGGUUUGCGAUGACACUAACAUUUUUUCCCUGAGGAGAGACUGUUCUUUUCUAAAUUAAACAUUCUUCAUUCUUACCACUCACAACUGGUUUAUUUUGUGGACAGUAAAGGCAGCAAAGGCUGGUAGCUUCUGAGAAAAUUAAAGAUACAGUACCAUUGUCGUUGACAUAGAAAGAACAUCUGUCACAAAACAUAUAUAACAUAUUAACAUGUGAAGUGCUAACGGCAGAUAAACAUACAUAAAUUAACAAAAGCAGAUAGAAAUCAACACAGCAAAGCUAAGUCCUACUUAGAGAAGACCCAUUGAAAUUAAUGGCCAUGAUGACCAACUUAGGUCCAUUCAUUUCAAUAGGUCUACAGCCUUACUAUAGGGUUAACACUGGAUACAGCCCAUUGCCUCUUACUGGUGUUGUGAGUGCUUGCAUAGCGGGGUCUUGUGUCCUGUUUUAUAGUGUGCAGUCUUCUGUUUGAAGUUACAGUCCAAAGAAGAGAAGGGGUGGGGGAGGAGGACUUGAAGCUGUCCACCUCCAGUUAGCACCUGGGCAGCAGUCCGAGGGGGUACACAGAUCACCUGGACCCAGUGCUCUCCAUGGUGGUUUGAUGCAAUGUCUUUCCAUUGCAGAAGGAACACUGGUUAGAGUGUUCAACUAGAACCUGGGAGACCAGGGUUCAAAUCCCCACUCAGCCAUGAAGCUCACUAGGUGACCGUGAGCCAGUCACUCAAUCUGAGUCUGACCUACCUCACAGGUUGUUGUGAGGAUAAAAUGCAUAGGAGAAGAACCGUGUACACCACCUUCAGCUCCUUGAAGGUAGAGUGCAGUUCAAGGGGUGUGGGGCACCUGGGCGCUGAAUUCUGGGGGGCACCAGGUGCCCACCGCUGAAGCCACCUAAGCUCUUAACUAUCUACCUGUUAUGAAAUAAUAAAUAAUUUUGAUCAAGCUAGAAAAACAAAAUACAUAUAUACCUAGGUAUUACCAAAAUGUAUACCUACUGUUUCACUAAAGGACUUUCGACUUUGUGGCUCAUUUACCAAAGACGCACCACACCAGCAGCAGCAACUGUCAUUCACAAUGGCGGCGCUUCAGACUCAACGACGACGUUGUCAUUCUCAAUGGCGCCGUGCACACAAAAUUAACUCUACAUGUUUUAUUGAGCUGUGCUGCUAUGUGGCAGCAGGGUCAGCGGCACCUUUGACACAACUGAUGUUUCUCCUAAAUAGGAGCCUAAACAGUACUUAUAAGUUUAAGUGUGGUGGUGUUGUAUACUUAAGUAUAAGUGUAAUGUAAAUAAAUGAGCAAAAGAAAAGUUUGUUUCUUUUUCCUCCCUUCUUUCGUAAACAAGAGAUAAGGCGUAAGCGUGGUGUCUGACAUAAACAUAAUAAAAGUUAAUUUGGGGGCUAAACUAAAUUUGGGGGCGCUGGGCGAAUCUUUGCACCCCUGUGGUGCAUAUGCUAAAGAUGGCCCGGAUAGGGUGGGAUAUAAAUGUAAUAAGUAAUUGCAUCAGUACCAGCUGCCUGUCACCCUGGGUGUAAAGAAACAAAGUGUAAGGUAAACCAGACUCUCUCUCGCACAUGUCAAUGCUGUAUCCAGUUGGGAAAGGUUUAUGAUUGAAUAGCCGCCACUCUUUCAUAUGGAGGGGGGCAGUUUAAGGGGGACACUCAAAGACACUUGCACCUGCAUCUUGUGGUCUCAGUGUUUAAAGUGAGAAUCUCCCCCAUCUGUCAAUUAUAGCCUAUACUACGGACUUUGCACCAUAAACCUUCCAAGUUUCCAAUACUCUUUUAAUAAGGCAGCUAAUCCUAUAAAGUUGGGGUGCAGAACCUCCAGCCUGAGCCCAAAUGCAGCUCUCUCUGUUUUUAUUUUCUUAUCUUGGGAUUCUCCCUUGGCUACAUCUUUUUUCUACGUCAUCAGCCCCACUAACCUUGCUCCAUUCCCUCCCUCAGUGCUUUUGCCUGCCUGGAACGUGCCCUUCAACUGUGAUAAUACUUCUUGCUUCUCUGGAUGCAGAUAUGUGCAUGGUACUAAAGAAACCUUCUAACUUUUGCAUAGUUUAAAUAGAGUUUCCUGCACUAAGUGUGGGUAACAGUAAUUUCUCUGCCUCUUUUGCCUCCUGCUUCACCCACCACAGACAUGGCCCCCAUGGUGGUGGUGGUCCUUGGGCUGAUUCCCCCCCCCCAUUGUUUAUGAAGUCUCUCUGUACCUUUCUACUGCUAGGGAAGUGGUAACCCAUAUCAAUAUUUUAAAGAGCAUCAAUAGUGUGAGUUUAGGGGGGGGUAUAGGGUGCAUGCCCGAGACCCUUCUAAUUCCUAGAUCUAACAAAGGUUAAAAUCUAAUGGAGGAUUCAGUUGUAGCAAGGCUAGCUUCUUGGUGGUGGCCCUCUAGCAGGAGUUGUUAAGGAAGUGGCUCUGGGUGCCUCCCCCCUCUCAACUGGCUGUUAGUUAGAAGGGCAAAAACCAGAGCUAAGGUGUUUAUGAACUAUAAGCAGAAGGCAGAAGUUGAAAGCCUGUCAGGGAAAGUCUUGCUUGAUUUCUGUUGGAAUCUAAGGCUGUGGCUAAGGGAGAAGCAAGACUUUAUUGGGGUGAUAAUGCUGCGAGCUCCUCUAUCCUAUGCUCAGGUUGCAAAAAGGUAAAGGUAAAGGGGCCCCUGACCAUUAGGUCCAGUCGUGGCCGACUCUGGGGUUGCGACGCUCAUCUCGCUCUAUAGGCCGAGGGAGCCAGUGUUUGUCUGCAUACAGCUUCCGGGUCAUGUGGCCAGCAUGACUAACCUGCUUCUGGCGAACCAGAGCAGCGCACGAAAACGCCGUUUACCUUCCCACUGAAGUGGUACCUAUUUAUCUACUUGCAUUGAGGUGCUUUUGAACUGCUAGGUGAGGGGAUUUGAACCGCCAACCUUCUGAUCGGCAAGUUCUAGGUUCUGUGGUUUAACCCACAGCGCCACCCACGUCCCUCAAGUUGUAUAUAUGUAUAAAUAAAUCAUAUAUCCUAAACAAACCACAGGCUCUGCUAUCCCUCAUUCCAAGGAAAACAGAAUGCUGUGUAAGCACGUGUAACCCCUGGAAUAUCAAACCACUUGAGGAUUAUGGUGGUGUGCAACAAUACAGUUCAAAAGCUCCUUUAAAGGAAUAGUACAGUCAUACCUCGGGUUGAAGUAGCUUCGGGAUAAGUACUUUUCGGUUGGGCGCUGCGGCGACCUGGAAGUAACGGAGCACGUUACUUCUGGGUUUCGUUGCUUGCGCAUGUGCAGAUGGUCAAAAUGACACCACGCGCGUGCACGGAAGCGGCAAAUCGCGACCCGUGCAGACGCACAAACGCAGGUUGCGUUUGCUUCUGUAUGCGAACGGGGCUCCAGAACGGAUCCCAUUCGCAUCCAGAAGUACAAGUGUAAUGGAUAUACUAUUGAAACUGAAAUUACACUUAGCUACCAUUUAUCAUGUAACAGCAGAAUAUUGCAUUUAAAAUUACUUGAGAUAUGCAUCCUUUGGAAGGACUGCUGCCAUUUUUUUAUUUCAAUAAAAUGGCUUCAAUUUCCGUUUAUCCACAUCUUCAGCUGGGAAACAGUCUUCAAUCCAGUUGUUCUGCGUUUGCCCCGAUGGAUCAGAAAUCGUGCAUACAAAUUAAAUGUUACUAGUGUGAGUUGGUUAAGAUUUUAAUGAAACUGCGGAGUAAAUAUUAAUAGUCAAAUGUAGGGAUCUCAACCAAUUAAGGAUUUUCAGUUGAUUCAUUAUCAGGCUUUUAUCUGCCAGCAGCCCUAACCAUGGCAUAACUAUGGUGUCAGUUGUAGGGCAGCUAAAGUUGUGGCUAAGCCAAAAUGAGAUUUGCAGGCAUAACUGAUCAGCUGCUUGGCCACACAUGCAAAUCUUCCCAAGCAUGACAAUCCAUGGAUUGUCAAUGCAAGAAAAAGUACUUUACCUGAUAUCAAGUGAUUGACAGGUGGGCAACCCCCAACACCUGUAAAACAUGUCCCACAGACUGUGGGGAAGGUAAGGAUGCUAGGACCUAGGAUUCACAGGCCAUUCACCACUGGUUUCACAUAAAGAGGAAACGCACCCUGUAUCAUCAGUGGUUCCCUGUGGCUGCAUGUUGCAAGUAAAUAUUGGUAAGCUACAACGCUGUGCACGCUGACCUAGAAAUAAGCCCCACUGACCUUGCUUGUUGUGCAUAGGAUUGCACCAGAAGGCUAGCAGGCUUCAGGGGAAGCUUGCUUGCUCUUAUCUUAUCCUAUGGUCUAGGGUACUAGGAGUCCCCAGGACACAAUUUCUAAUACCAUUUCCUGCUAAUCAGUGGCAAUGGCCCUGAUUUAGGAGCCUCAGUACAACUGCAGUAAAGUACGUCAUGAAGAAAAUAGGGAGAAGUUCACCGAUUCAGGGAAGCGUUUUUCUUAAUUCUUAAUUGCAAACUCACAGCACCAUGUUGUCAUGAAACUGAAGUUUAUUCUUUGACACCAGUUGCCCAGUGAAAUUUUGCAGAGGCAAUUAUAGUUGAGCUUCACAGAGGUUAAGGGACCUUCCCAAAAUUCACACUGUAGAACAAGUGUAGUACAGGGCCUGAGCUCCUCUGUUGUGACAUGAAACAGAGAAACGCCACUUCUUCAUCCCUGAAUUCAUUAUCCGGUAAUGAGAAUACGUAUAUUACGGAUGCAGCCUCCCCACUGCCAGUCUCCUUUAAAUUGGUUAUAUUAUCAGGCAAGUAGAACAACAGGUUCAUAGAGUUCACAAAUCCAGCAGCUGAAUUAAAGGCUUCCACUUAAAGCCUAUGGACUCCCUCUCGUGAUGUAAUAAGUUUGCUUAUUAACAUUUCUGAUGCGUAAUUAUGUGCCUUUCAAUCAUGUUGCUGGUCUGCAUAUCCAGCUAAAGAAAUGUGGAGGCAGGGAGAUAGAGAGACAAGCAGCAGGGAGCUAAUACUGAAUUUGGUACAUGUGUUAAGCAACAAACUGCUCAAGGGAUUCGUCUGUUUAUGUGUGACAGGGAGCUUUCUGAGAAUAUUUAAAUAUCUAUGGGUGACGCUCAAUGGCCAUUCACGUGUAGGAAGUGUUACUACUCUCUCAGGGUACUUGAGGUGCGGUGGGGGGUGGGGACUGGACAUCUCUGGAGUAGCACUGUGCCAAACCUUCAAUUUCUCAUAAGUUUUCUUCCCUUGCAAAAGAGUUUGGCAUUUCACCGCUCCUCACCUCAUUUACAUAGUGCUUUUGAAUUUCUUUAGCAUUUCUGUACCUUUGCAGGGUUGAGCUUCCCAUAUCAUUGCAAAACUGCUGUGGGCAGUGGGUUUUUUAAAAUUUCCAUUAAAUGUUUUUCCAGUGAACUGCAGAUUCUUGAUCUGAAAAAGCCUUAUGGGAGAAGUUGCCUUUAUGAUGUCUUCUCCUGUUUUAAUUAAAGGGGGUGGGGGUGGGGAAUUGGCUAUCAAGCACGUAAGAUUGGUGUACCCACGGAUUUUGUUUUUAAAGGAAGUUCUUCCUUUCACCUUUUAUUCCUCUUAAAUUUCAACGCUGAUUUAUUUAAAAGUAAAAAUACUUCCCUUAAAAUAAAAUAAAACCGAACAGUUGCCAGGCACACAGUAAGCAGCCUCUCCACCUUCAUGUGCUUUCAGGAUACCUAGAUACCUAGAUGAAGAUGGUUUGGAGCUCUGAAGUUAGUUCUGCCAGGGCACUGGAGGUGAUGCUGGACACAGGAAGGAGGAACCAGACAUCAGAUCUCGCUGCCCAACACCAGAGCUCUGUCUCUGACACUGAAGAGCAUCAUCCACCCAGGAGCUACAGGGCUGCACCC